GUGGUGGAGUUUUGCUGUAUGUACACAUUUUAUCUUAAUGGUGUCAAUGCAAUUUGGCCUUCCCUGCAGUGUUUUUGUUUUUGUUUUUGUUUUUUUAGAGAUGAGAUCUUGCUCUGUUGCCCAGGCUGGAAUGCAGCUGUGCGGUCAUACCUCACUGUAGCCUCGAACUCCUGGGCCUAGUAUCUGGAACUUCAGGUGCGCACCCCCGUGCCCUGCCAACCACAGUUUUACUUGGUGGAAAUUAUGCUGACAUGAAAGAAUGAAGAGAAGAUACUAAGAUCGUAAACCUGGGAGAAGAAAUGUAAAUAGAGGAAGUUGGUGGCAGCUACUCAAGAAUGCAGCCACACAAUUUAGGAAAGAGCUAGAGGAAAAGGUUUAGGGAAAUAAUGAAAAAGGAACAAUUAAGUAAAAAUUGCAUCCCUCAAGCAAUGCAGAAAAUGCUCUUGGCCCUAAAAG
RNAcentral lists this long non-coding RNA (456 nucleotides) under Homo sapiens (human). RNAcentral's name for it is "HSALNT0185983". Lineage: Eukaryota; Metazoa; Chordata; Mammalia; Primates; Hominidae. The record is from RNAcentral.